GAUGAACGCUGGCGGCGUGCCUAAUACAUGCAAGUCGAACGAAACUUCUUUAUCACCGAGUGCUUGCACUCACCGAUAAAGAGUUGAGUGGCGAACGGGUGAGUAACACGUGGGCAACCUGCCCAAAAGAGGGGGAUAACACUUGGAAACAGGUGCUAAUACCGCAUAACCAUAGUUACCGCAUGGUAACUAUGUAAAAGGUGGCUAUACUACCGCUUUUGGAUGGGCCCGCGGCGCAUUAGCUAGUUGGUAGGGUAAAGGCUUACCAAGGCAAUGAUGCGUAGCCGAAUUGAGAGGUUGAUCGGCCACAUUGGGACUGAGACACGGCCCAAACUCCUACGGGAGGCAGCAGUAGGGAAUCUUCCACAAUGGGCGAAAGCCUGAUGGAGCAACGCCGCGUGGGUGAAGAAGGCCUUCGGAUCGUAAAACCCUGUUGUUAGAGAAGAAAGUGCGUGAGAGUAACUGUUCACGUUUCGACGGUAUCUAACCAGAAAGCCACUGCUAACUACGUG
This 512-nucleotide ribosomal RNA is filed under the name uncultured bacterium. RNAcentral's name for it is "partial 16S ribosomal RNA". It matches the Rfam family "Bacterial small subunit ribosomal RNA", at positions 28 to 507 of the family's 1533-position model. The record is from RNAcentral.